AGUCGUGGGGCAGCAUGUCCCGCAGCAAUGCGGGAUGAUGGCGACCGGCAAACGGGUGCGGAACACGUACACAACCUUCCUUCGAGUGGGGAAUAGCCCGGGGAAACCCGGAUUAAUACCCCGUAACAUAAUGGAGUGGCAUCACUUUAUUAUUAUAGCUCCGGCGCUUGAAGAUGGGUGUGCGACUGAUUAGGCAGUUGGCGGGGUAACGGCCCACCAAACCUACGAUCAGUAACUGGUGUGAGAGCACGACCAGUCACACGGGCACUGAGACACGGGCCCGACUCCUACGGGAGGCAGCAGUAAGGAAUAUUGGUCAAUGGACGCAAGUCUGAACCAGCCAUGCCGCGUGGAGGAUGAAGGCCCUCUGGGUUGUAAACUUCUUUUAUCUGGGACGAAAAAGGGACUUUCUAGUUCAACUGACGGUACCAGAGGAAUAAGCACCGGCUAACUCCGUGCCAGCAGCCGCGGUAAUACGGAGGGUGCAAGCGUUAUCCGGAUUCACUGGGUUUAAAGGGUGCGUAGGUGGGUUGGUAAGUCAGUGGUGAAAUCUCCAGGCUUAACUUGGAAACUGCCAUUGAUACUAUUAAUCUUGAAUACCGUGGAGGUCAGCGGAAUAUGUCAUGUAGCGGUGAAAUGCUUAGAUAUGACAUAGAACACCAAUUGCGAAGGCAGCUGGCUACACGAAUAUUGACACUGAUGCACGAAAGCGUGGGGAUCAAACAGGAUUAGAUACCCUGGUAGUCCACGCCCUAAACGAUGGAUACUCGACAUACGCGAUAUACUGUGUGUGUCUGAGCGAAAGCAUUAAGUAUCCCACCUG
RNAcentral lists this ribosomal RNA (823 nucleotides) under uncultured Sphingobacteriales cum 'Crenotrichaceae' bacterium. RNAcentral describes it as "bacterial SSU rRNA". It matches the Rfam family "Bacterial small subunit ribosomal RNA", at positions 60 to 875 of the family's 1533-position model. The record is from RNAcentral. Lineage: Bacteria; Pseudomonadati; Bacteroidota; Sphingobacteriia; Sphingobacteriales.